Molecule: long non-coding RNA, 242 nt
Organism: Haliotis rubra (blacklip abalone)
Lineage: Eukaryota; Metazoa; Mollusca; Gastropoda; Lepetellida; Haliotidae
Exons: 4
Source: RefSeq, a predicted model, not a curated record
GCACCAUCCUUUCAAGGGACAAUAUGUUAACUUAUGGAGGAUUAUUUCCUGCAUUUACCUUUGGGUAAACACGCGGUGACAAAAGAAGCAGAGCUGAUAGCAUGGCAAGAAAGAGUGGCACUCGAGAAGAGUGUUUUCCCGAUUUUACGCUCGAUUAUGGUAAAGGAUAGAACCAGUCUUAUCUACCAAGACGUGAAAAUGGCUUUCCUAGAGAAAGUCUCAAGAAGAGAAAGAAAGCACAG